CCUACGGGGGGCAGCAGUGGGGAAUAUUGGACAAUGGGGGGAACCCUGAUCCAGCCAUGCCGCGUGUGUGAAGAAGGCCCUCGGGUUGUAAAGCACUUUCAGUGAGGAAGAACGCCUGGUGGUUAAUACCCAUCAGGAAAGACAUCACUCACAGAAGAAGCACCGGCUAACUCCGUGCCAGCAGCCGCGGUAAUACGGAGGGUGCGAGCGUUAAUCGGAAUUACUGGGCGUAAAGCGCGCGUAGGUGGCUUGAUAAGCCGGUUGUGAAAGCCCCGGGCUCAACCUGGGAACGGCAUCCGGAACUGCCAAGCUAGAUUCAAGGAGAGGAAGGUAGAAUUCCGGUGUAGCGGUGAAAUGCGUAGAGAUCGGGAGGAAUACCAGUGGCGAAGGCGGCCUUCUGGACUGACACUGACACUGAGGUGCGAAAGCGUGGGUAGCAAACAGGAUUAGAUACCCGAGUAGUC
This 464-nucleotide ribosomal RNA is filed under the name Vreelandella stevensii. RNAcentral describes it as "partial 16S ribosomal RNA". It matches the Rfam family "Bacterial small subunit ribosomal RNA", at positions 338 to 795 of the family's 1533-position model. The record is from RNAcentral. Lineage: Bacteria; Pseudomonadati; Pseudomonadota; Gammaproteobacteria; Oceanospirillales; Halomonadaceae.